This 681-nucleotide ribosomal RNA is filed under the name uncultured bacterium. RNAcentral's name for it is "bacterial SSU rRNA". It matches the Rfam family "Bacterial small subunit ribosomal RNA", at positions 44 to 715 of the family's 1533-position model. The record is from RNAcentral.
AUGCUUAACACAUGCAAGUCGAACGGUAACAUUUCUAGCUUGCUAGAAGAUGACGAGCGGCGGACGGGUGAGUAAUGCUUGGGAAUAUGCCUUAUGGUGGGGGACAACAGUUGGAAACGACUGCUAAUACCGCAUAACGUCUACGGACCAAAGGGGGGGAUCUUCGGACCUCUCGCCAUUUGAUUAGCCCAAGUGAGAUUAGCUAGUUGGUGGGGUAAUGACCUACCAAGGCGACAAUCGGUAUCCGGCCUAAGAGGGCGGACGGACACACUGGGACUGAGACACGGCCCAGACUCCUACGGGAGGCAGCAGUGGGGAAUUGUUCGCAAUGGACGAAAGUCUGACGACGCAACGCCGCGUGGAGGACGAAGACCUUCGGGUCGUAAACUCCUGUCGAGUGGGACGAAAACCACCCGGGUAAAUACCCCGGGAGGCUGACGGUACCAUUAAAGGAAGCCCCGGCUAACUCCGUGCCAGCAGCCGCGGUAAUACGGGGGGGGCAAGCGUUAUUCGGAAUUACUGGGCGUAAAGAGCUCGUAGGCGGCUUGUUUAGUCGGACGUGAAAUCCCUUGGCUCAACUGAGGAACUGCGUCCGAUACUGGCAGGCUUGAAUCCGGGAGAGGGAUGCGGAAUUCCAGGUGUAGCGGUGAAAUGCGUAGAUAUCUGAAGGAACACCAGUGG